Molecule: transfer RNA, 68 nt
Filed under: Acrossus rufipes
Lineage: Eukaryota; Metazoa; Arthropoda; Insecta; Coleoptera; Scarabaeidae
Description: Aphodius rufipes tRNA-Phe
Source: RNAcentral
ACUUAAAUAGCUCAAAUAUUAGAGCAUAAUAUUGAAGAUAUUAAGGUAAUAUAUUAUAUUUUUAAGUA